AUUGAACGCUGGCGGCAUGCCUUACACAUGCAAGUCGAACGGCAGCACGGGUGCUUGCACCUGGUGGCGAGUGGCGAACGGGUGAGUAAUACAUCGGAACAUGUCCUGUAGUGGGGGAUAUCCCGGCGAAAGCCGGAUUAAUACCGCAUACGAUCCACGGAUGAAAGCGGGGGACCUUCGGGCCUCGCGCUAUAGGGUUGGCCGAUGGCUGAUUAGCUAGUUGGUGGGGUAAAGGCCUACCAAGGCGACGAUCAGUAGCUGGUCUGAGAGGACGACCAGCCACACUGGGACUGAGACACGGCCCAGACUCCUACGGGAGGCAGCAGUGUGGAAUUUUGGACAAUGGGCGAAAGCCUGAUCCAGCAAUGCCGCGUGUGUGAAGAAGGCCUUCGGGUUGUAAGGCACUUUUGUCCGGAAAGAAAUCCUUGACUCUAAUACAGUCGGGGGAUGACGGUACCGGAAGAAUAAGCACCGGCUAACUACGUG
This 486-nucleotide ribosomal RNA is filed under the name uncultured bacterium. RNAcentral describes it as "partial 16S ribosomal RNA". It matches the Rfam family "Bacterial small subunit ribosomal RNA", at positions 30 to 507 of the family's 1533-position model. The record is from RNAcentral.